RNAcentral lists this long non-coding RNA (989 nucleotides) under Lytechinus variegatus (green sea urchin). Its description in RNAcentral is "uncharacterized LOC121407781". The record is from RNAcentral. Lineage: Eukaryota; Metazoa; Echinodermata; Echinoidea; Temnopleuroida; Toxopneustidae.
UGGGUUUUAGGAAAACCAUGGUUUUUAGGCACAUUGACCAAUCACAGAUCAGUAUUUCGGUACAUUGCUGAGCAAGUGCAUAGACGACGAUAAAUCAGCUUUGCACGAAAUGAAGAGGAGCGAAGCACUUAAUAUCGGUAUUUGCCGAGCUGUGAGAACAUCUAAAUUUUUGAAUGGGUGAAAACAUCUUACAAGUUAACAUGCACAGGCUGUCCUGAGAGACUAUUAAAGGAGGAUUGUAAGAGAGGAAUAUGCCAACAAGAACUGCAAUGAGGAGUCGUUGACAGGAGGAAACUUUUUAAAAGAGACCACACACUACCUCAUCAACAUGCUUGAAGAUGAUCUGAGCCUGAAGAGGGACAAAGGGCCUAGUGAUAAGACUACCUUUCUGCAAGUAUUGACAAUUCUGCUUUUGUAUGGUGAUAAUUUCAGGGAAUACGUGGUGAUGAGGCAUCAGUGUUGCAAUUAUCUGUGAGUGAUCAAAGAUGUUUCACAAGCCAUAGCAAGAAAAAAGAGGUUUUGUGAGAACUUCAACAACCAGAGAUGAGAUUGAGACUACCCAACAACAACUGUGUGAGUGAUCGAUUGGACCCAUGUCUAUACAAGAAUUCCUGGAGGGAAACAAGCCUUGUACUUUCCUGAAGGGCAAGUCCACCCCAACAAAAAGUUUCUUUGAUAUAAUACAGAAAAUUCCAAUGAGCAUAACACUAAACAUUUCAUCAAAAUUUGAUGUAAAAUGAGAAAGUGUUGACAUUUUGAAGUUUUGCUUAUUUUCACAAAACAGACAUCCUGGUCAGUAUGCAAAUGAGUGACAAAGUGACGUUCUCCACUCAGUGUUUCUUUUUGUAAUAUACUAGUAUCAUGAUUUUUUUCCCUCAUAAUGUGUAUAAAGUACAGGUGAGAUAUGGUUUGAUUUCUCCCUGAAACUUUUGUAAAAAGCCAUUGUGGCAACCUAUACUCAAUUCGAUGAAGAGUUUUCUCAUAAUUGU